CCUACGGGAGGCAGCAGUGGGGAAUAUUGCACAAUGGGGGAAACCCUGAUGCAGCGACGCCGCGUGAGCGAUGAAGUAUUUCGGUAUGUAAAGCUCUAUCAGCAGGGAAGAAAAUGACGGUACCUGACUAAGAAGCCCCGGCUAACUAAGUGCCAGCAGCCGCGGUAAUACGUAGGGGGCAAGCGUUAUCCGGAUUUACGGGGUGUAAAGGGAGCGUAGACGGCUUGGCAAGCCAGAUGGGAAAGGCCCGGGCUCAAACUCAGGACUGCAUUUGGAACUGUCAUGCUAGAGUGUCGGAGAGGCAGGUGGAAUUCCUAGUGUAGCGGUGAAAUGCAUAGAUAUUAGGAGGAACACCAAUGGCGAAGGCGGCCUGCUGGACGAUGACUGACGUUGAGGCACGAAAGCGUGGGGAGCAAACAGGAUUAGAUACCCCAGUAGUC
Molecule: ribosomal RNA, 440 nt
Filed under: uncultured bacterium
Lineage: Bacteria
Description: partial 16S ribosomal RNA
Rfam family: Bacterial small subunit ribosomal RNA
Source: RNAcentral